Molecule: non-coding RNA, 26 nt
Filed under: Rattus norvegicus (Norway rat)
Lineage: Eukaryota; Metazoa; Chordata; Mammalia; Rodentia; Muridae
Source: RNAcentral
UACUCAUAGGAUGGAGGACAGGUGAC